This 143-nucleotide microRNA precursor is filed under the name Gossypium arboreum. Its description in RNAcentral is "MIR7502 microRNA precursor family". It matches the Rfam family "MIR7502 microRNA precursor family". Lineage: Eukaryota; Viridiplantae; Streptophyta; Magnoliopsida; Malvales; Malvaceae. The record is from Rfam by way of RNAcentral.
UAUUAAAAAUUCCAUUCAUUUUUACUAUUAAAAACGGGCACAGUUGAUGAAACAACCAAAUAGUAACAUUUCACAUGCCAUGUAUACCUCAUGCACAUACAUGGACCAAAAUUUAAUAAUAGAAAUGGAUAAAAUUUUCAACA